UUUUUACAACAGAAAUUGAUUGCCUUGUUACUCAGCAUCUCUCUUUCACUCACACACAUAUUCCCCCUCUCUCUCUUUCUCCUUUUUUGUCCCCAGCCAGUUGGAGGGAGUAAAUAACUAUUGAUUUGGGCCAACUGAAGCUUGCUAGCUAAGAUGCUAUUGUGCUAACUGGUCCCUUUGUCUGCUGCCCCUGAGAUCUCCUCACAGAAAAAAGAAUGAGAUGCAUUAGUUUCAUUUGCAUCCCGUAAAAGGAUUCCUUAUUCCAACAACAUGCAGAUGUCUGUGCAGACGCUUUAUGAUUCACCAUAACACUAUAAACCAGACUGCUGGAUCCAGGAAUAAAUGGAAGGGACACUCCAUGUAUCCUUCUGGAUUCCUUCAAGUGACCUCGGGCCAAAUUCCCUACAGAGUACUAGCACCUCCGCUGCUCUGUUGCCUGUCACAGCAGGGAAACUGCUGUACAUGAGAGCUUUUCAAGACCAGACCAGAGAAAAGCUAUGAAAUGCUGAUGCUGAUGAUGUAUGAGUGUCAACCAUCAUUGUGAUUCUAAGAUAAUGGCAAUGAUAUAUUGUAUAGGAAAUGUCAUGUUUGCUGUUAUCUGUAACUGUGACUUGUUUAAUUCUCACUGUAGAAUUCCUUAGUGUGAUAAAACAGUAUUACCAAUAUAUAUCAUAUUUUUAUUAUUGUAUGCUAAAAUUGCCUAUGAAUAUGCAUUUGAUUUUGGAGGUGAAAUGAUGGCUCUACAGUGGAGUACAAGAAAGUCCUUUGUUUUUUUAUGGAUUUUAACCAAAAAAUACUCAUUUAAAUUUAUUUCUUAAGGUACAUUUUAUUUUCAGUUUUUUGCAUUUUUGUUGUACAAUUUCCUGCUGCAAGAAGACACUGUGCACUGCAAUUUGCAGAGAGAAGGGCCUCUCAUGGAGAGGAGAGCUCAGAAAAUGCUUCAGGUAAAAUAAAGUGGAUAGAAAAACACUUGACGAUGCUGCAGACUAUCCAGGGUUCAUCAAAGUUCAGUAACAGUGAAAACUGCACAUAUUGAUCAAAUACAAUCUCAUUUUCACCCAGAUUUUUGCAAUAUAGAUCUUUUCAUGAUUUUCUUAAUAUCUAAAGUAAAUGUAAAU
Thunnus maccoyii (southern bluefin tuna) is the source of this 1118-nucleotide long non-coding RNA. RefSeq lists it as uncharacterized. The transcript is spliced from 3 exons. Lineage: Eukaryota; Metazoa; Chordata; Actinopteri; Scombriformes; Scombridae. The record is from RefSeq and is a predicted model, not a curated record.